GCUUCACCAUCAGCUGCUCCAUCCAGCCUCAGUACCCAGGAGGCUCUUUCCAGCUCACCUUCACCUCCUCCAACACCACCAACAACUACACCCAGCCAGCUGUCAAUCACUCUGCCCACUUCCUGUUCCCUGCUGCAAAGCCCGCCCACCAAGGAACCUACAGCUGUGUUUAUCGCGUCUUCGUGUUUUCUCGUAACUUCUCCUCUGAGAGCCGUCAGCUGUCUCUCACUGUCUCAGAUCCAACAGUGUUUGUCAUCAGACUGCUGCUCCUGCUGCUGAGCCUGCUGCUCUUCAUCUCUGCCGUCUGUUUCAGCCAUAAGGUCACCGGGAGGCAGAAGCCCCGCCCACCAGAGGACCAGGAGCUGGAUGGUUAAAGCUGGCAGUGUCCAGAAAGGCAGGCAGCUCAGCAGCGCCUCCACAUGGUGGAGGAAGUGUUUGCAUCCUUCACCACAGUGUGAACAUGA
Oreochromis aureus is the source of this 464-nucleotide long non-coding RNA. RefSeq lists it as uncharacterized. Lineage: Eukaryota; Metazoa; Chordata; Actinopteri; Cichliformes; Cichlidae. The transcript is spliced from 3 exons. The record is from RefSeq and is a predicted model, not a curated record.